GGAAGGGUGCCCGAGUGGCUAAAGGGGGCGGACUGUAAAUCCGCUGGCGUACGCCUUCGUAGGUUCGAGUCCUACUUCCCCCACCA
RNAcentral lists this transfer RNA (86 nucleotides) under Acidocella sp. 35-58-6. RNAcentral's name for it is "tRNA-Tyr". It matches the Rfam family "tRNA". From Rfam's summary of the family: Transfer RNA (tRNA) molecules are approximately 80 nucleotides in length. Lineage: Bacteria; Pseudomonadati; Pseudomonadota; Alphaproteobacteria; Acetobacterales; Acidocellaceae. The record is from RNAcentral.